Molecule: ribosomal RNA, 393 nt
Filed under: uncultured bacterium
Lineage: Bacteria
Description: partial 16S ribosomal RNA
Rfam family: Bacterial small subunit ribosomal RNA
Source: RNAcentral
AUACGGAGGAUCCGAGCGUUAUCCGGAUUUAUUGGGUUUAAAGGGAGCGUAGGUGGACAGUUAAGUCAGUUGUGAAAGUUUGCGGCUCAACCGUAAAAUUGCAGUUGAUACUGGCUGUCUUGAGUACAGUAGAGGUGGGCGGAAUUCGUGGUGUAGCGGUGAAAUGCUUAGAUAUCACGAAGAACUCCGAUUGCGAAGGCAGCUGGCUGGACUGCGACUGACACUGGUGCUCGAAAGUGUGGGGAUCAAACAGGAUGAGAUGCGCUGGUAGUCCACACAGUAAUCGGUGAAUACUCGCUGUUUGCGAUAUACAGUAAGCGGCCAAGCGAAAGCAUUAAGUAUUCCACCUGGGGAGUCCGCCGGCAACGGUGAAACUCAAAGGAAUUGACGGGG